Molecule: unclassified non-coding RNA, 815 nt
Filed under: Hevea brasiliensis (rubber tree)
Lineage: Eukaryota; Viridiplantae; Streptophyta; Magnoliopsida; Malpighiales; Euphorbiaceae
Source: RNAcentral
AAGGAAGAAAAAAAUUGCAGAAUCUCAGCUUUUGAUUCCCAAGUCUUACAAAGAGAAGCAGGCAAAAGCUGCUAGGAAGAGAUACAGACGAACCCUUAUACGUAUCCAAUUUCCUGAUGGAGUGGUGCUUCAGGGUGUCUUUGCUCCUUGGGAAACAACUAGUGCUCUUUAUGAGUUUGUGAGCACAUCACUGAAGGAACCCGGUUUGGAGUUUGAACUGUUAGAUCCUGUACUGGUCAAACGACGGGUUAUCCCUCAUUUUCCUGCCGCAGGGGAGAGAGCCUCUACUCUAGAAGAUGAAGAUUUGGUUCCUUCAGCUCUCAUCAAGUUCAGGCCUGUUGAAACGGACUCUUCUGUCUUCACAGGGCUCUGUAAUGAACUUCUCGAGAUUAUUGAACCGCUUAAUUGAUUUGGAAGUAUGAAGACAGAUAACAAUAUUAAUACUUGUGUGCUUCAGCUCAGGCUUGAACUGGAUUAUAUAUAUUGGGGCAAUGGUACAAUUUCACAGUUUUGCUUCUUUUUUUUUUUAUAUAUAUUAUUAAUUCAAAUUAGAUUCUGUACUCAGUUACCCAAAAAUUUGCACUAGCAGACUGAUCAAAUAUGCCAAGAAGUGUGUAUCCUUGUACUCAUAAUGCGUUGUCGACCUGCGGUCAAGUAUACAGUUGCUGUCCAUUUGGAAUUGUAACUUUGCACAAUUUUAAAUAUUUCACGAUUUUGAAUUGUAAAUUUGCUUCAAUAGUUGUUGCCAUAUGAACUCUCCAUGUUAUGUAAAUGGUUGUGCCUUCUCUCUCCAUCGUUUUAUUUGAUAUUACUGC